Molecule: ribosomal RNA, 497 nt
Filed under: uncultured bacterium
Lineage: Bacteria
Description: partial 16S ribosomal RNA
Rfam family: Bacterial small subunit ribosomal RNA
Source: RNAcentral
GAUGAACGCUGGCGGCGUGCCUAAUACAUGCAAGUCGAGCGAACAGAUGAGGAGCUUGCUCCUCUGACGUUAGCGGCGGACGGGUGAGUAACACGUGGAUAACCUACCUAUAAGACUGGGAUAACUUCGGGAAACCGGAGCUAAUACCGGAUAAUAUAUUGAAUCGCAUGGUUCAAUAGUGAAAGACGGUUUUGCUGUCACUUAUAGAUGGAUCCGCGCCGCAUUAGCUAGUUGGUAAGGUAACGGCUUACCAAGGCAACGAUGCGUAGCCGACCUGAGAGGGUGAUCGGCCACACUGGAACGGAGACACGGUCCAGACUCCUACGGGAGGCAGCAGUAGGGAAUCUUCCGCAAUGGGCGAAAGCCUGACGGAGAAACGCCGCGUGAGUGAUGAAGGUCUUCGGAUCGUAAAACUCUGUUAUUAGGGAAGAACAAAUGUGUAAGUAACUAUGCACGUCUUGACGGUACCUAAUCAGAAAGCCACGGCUAACUACGUG